CUGACGUUAGCGGCGGACGGGUGAGUAACACGUGGGUAACCUACCUAUAAGACUGGGAUAACUCCGGGAAACCGGGGCUAAUACCGGAUAAUACAUGAAACCGCAUGGUUUCAUGAUGAAAGACGGUUUUGCUGUCACUUAUAGAUGGACCCGCGGCGUAUUAGCUAGUUGGUAAGGUAACGGCUUACCAAGGCAACGAUACGUAGCCGACCUUAGAGGGUGAUCGGCCACACUGGAACUGAGACACGGUCCAGACUCCUACGGGAGGCAGCAGUC
Molecule: ribosomal RNA, 276 nt
Filed under: uncultured Staphylococcus sp.
Lineage: Bacteria; Bacillati; Bacillota; Bacilli; Caryophanales; Staphylococcaceae
Description: partial 16S ribosomal RNA
Rfam family: Bacterial small subunit ribosomal RNA
Source: RNAcentral